AUUGAACGCUGGCGGCAGGCCUAACACAUGCAAGUCGAGCGGAUGAGGAGUGCUUGCACUCCGAUUCAGCGGCGGACGGGUGAGUAAUGCCUAGGAAUCUGCCCGAUAGUGGGGGACAACGUUUCGAAAGGAACGCUAAUACCGCAUACGUCCUACGGGAGAAAGUGGGGGCUCUUCGGACCUCACGCUAUCGGAUGAGCCUAGGUCGGAUUAGCUAGUUGGUGGGGUAAAGGCCCACCAAGGCGACGAUCCGUAACUGGUCUGAGAGGAUGAUCAGUCACACUGGAACUGAGACACGGUCCAGACUCCUACGGGAGGCAGCAGUGGGGAAUAUUGGACAAUGGGCGAAAGCCUGAUCCAGCCAUGCCGCGUGUGUGAAGAAGGUCUUCGGAUUGUAGAGCACUUUAAGUUGGGAGGAAGGGCUGUAAGUUAAUACCUUGCAGUUUUGACGUUACCGACAGAAUAAGCACCGGCUAACUUCGUGCCAGCAGCCGCCGUAA
Molecule: ribosomal RNA, 500 nt
Filed under: uncultured bacterium
Lineage: Bacteria
Description: partial 16S ribosomal RNA
Rfam family: Bacterial small subunit ribosomal RNA
Source: RNAcentral